This 392-nucleotide ribosomal RNA is filed under the name Priestia flexa. Its description in RNAcentral is "bacterial SSU rRNA". It matches the Rfam family "Bacterial small subunit ribosomal RNA", at positions 555 to 946 of the family's 1533-position model. Lineage: Bacteria; Bacillati; Bacillota; Bacilli; Caryophanales; Bacillaceae. The record is from RNAcentral.
UGGGCGUAAGCGCGCGCAGGCGGUUUCUUAAGUCUGAUGUGAAAGCCCACGGCUCAACCGUGGAGGGUCAUUGGAAACUGGGGAACUUGAGUGCAGAAGAGAAAAGCGGAAUUCCACGUGUAGCGGUGAAAUGCGUAGAGAUGUGGAGGAACACCAGUGGCGAAGGCGGCUUUUUGGUCUGUAACUGACGCUGAGGCGCGAAAGCGUGGGGAGCAAACAGGAUUAGAUACCCUGGUAGUCCACGCCGUAAACGAUGAGUGCUAAGUGUUAGAGGGUUUCCGCCCUUUAGUGCUGCAGCUAACGCAUUAAGCACUCCGCCUGGGGAGUACGGUCGCAAGACUGAAACUCAAAGGAAUUGACGGGGGCCCGCACACGCGGUGGAGCAUGUGGUU